Molecule: ribosomal RNA, 482 nt
Filed under: uncultured bacterium
Lineage: Bacteria
Description: partial 16S ribosomal RNA
Rfam family: Bacterial small subunit ribosomal RNA
Source: RNAcentral
AUUGAACGCUGGCGGCAUGCUUUACACAUGCAAGUCGAACGGUAACAGGCCGCAAGGUGCUGACGAGUGGCGAACGGGCGAGUAAUGCAUCGGAACGUGCCCAGUCGUGGGGGAUAACUACUCGAAAGAGUAGCUAAUACCGCAUACGAUCUAUGGAUGAAAGCGGGGGACCGUAAGGCCUCGCGCGAUUGGAGCGGGCGAUGUCAGAUUAGGUAGUUGGUGGGGUAAAGGCUCACCAAGCCAACGAUCUGUAGCGGGUCUGAGAGGACGACCAGCCACACUGGAACUGAGCCACGGCCCAGACUCCUACGGGAGGCAGCAGUGGGGAAUUUUGGACAAUGGGCGCAAGCCUGAUCCAGCAAUGCCGCGUGCAGGAAGAAGGCCUUCGGGUUGUAAACUGCUUUUGUACGGAACGAAACGGCUCUGGUUAAUACCCGGGGCUAAUGACGGUACCGUAAGAAUAAGCACCGGCUAACUACGUG